Molecule: transfer RNA, 73 nt
Filed under: Camelus bactrianus (Bactrian camel)
Lineage: Eukaryota; Metazoa; Chordata; Mammalia; Artiodactyla; Camelidae
Also listed under: 2 other names
Rfam family: tRNA
About the family: Transfer RNA (tRNA) molecules are approximately 80 nucleotides in length. Their secondary structure includes four short double-helical elements and three loops (D, anti-codon, and T loops). Further hydrogen bonds mediate the characteristic L-shaped molecular structure. tRNAs have two regions of fundamental functional importance: the anti-codon, which is responsible for specific mRNA codon recognition, and the 3' end, to which the tRNAs corresponding amino acid is attached (by aminoacyl-tRNA synthetases). tRNAs cope with the degeneracy of the genetic code in two manners: having more than one tRNA (with a specific anti-codon) for a particular amino acid; and 'wobble' base-pairing, i.e. permitting non-standard base-pairing at the 3rd anti-codon position.
Source: Rfam by way of RNAcentral
GAAGGUAUAGCUCAAGUGGUAGAGUGUGUGCUUCGCAUGCAUGAGGUCCUGGGUUCAACCCCCAAUACUUCCA